This 1284-nucleotide ribosomal RNA is filed under the name metagenome. RNAcentral describes it as "bacterial SSU rRNA". It matches the Rfam family "Archaeal small subunit ribosomal RNA", at positions 1 to 1294 of the family's 1478-position model. The record is from RNAcentral.
UCCCGUUGAUCCUGCGGGAGGUCGCUGCUAUUAGGAUUCUAUUUAGCCAUGCAAGUCAGGGGUUCUUCGGAACACCGGCGAAAGGCUCAGUAACACGUCGAUAAUCUGCCCUUAGGUCUGGGAUAACGUCGGGAAACUGACGCUAAAACCAGAUAGGGGAUUAAGGCUGGAACGCAUUUUCCCUUAAAAGCAAUGCCUAAGGAUGAGUCGGCGGCUGAUUAGGUUGUUGGUGAGGUAAUGGCUCACCAAGCCCAAGAUCAGUAGGGGUCUUGAGAGAGAUAGCCCCGAGAAGGGCACUGAGAUACUGGCCCUAGCUCUAAGGAGUGCAGCAGGCGAGAAAACUUUACAAUGCACGAAAGUGUGAUAAGGGAAUCCUAAGUGCUAAUGUUCUGCAUUGGCUUUUGCCAAGUGUAAGGAGCUUGGCGAAUAAGUGGUGGGUAAUACUGGUGCCAGCCGCCGCGGUAACACCAGAGCCACGAGUGGCAAUCGCAAUUAUUGGGCCUAAAGCGUCCGUAGCUGGUUUGUUAAAUUUCCUGUGAAAUUGCUAGGCUUAACCUAGCAGCGCGCAAGAAAGACUGGCAGACUUGGGACCGGGAGGAGACAAGAGUAUUCCAGGGGGAGCGGUAAAAUGCUAUAAUCCUUGGAGGACUACCUGUGGCGAAGGCGCUUGCCUAGAACGGGUCUGACAGUGAGGGACGAAAGCUAAGGUAGCGAUCGGGAUUAGAUACCCCAGUAGUCUUAGCUGUAAACUCUGCGAGCUAUGUGAUGCAUAUUCUUAGUGGAUAUGCAGCGCCUAAGUGAAGACGUUAAGCUCGCCGCCUGGGAAGUACGGCCGCAAGACUGAAACUUAAAGGAAUUGGCGGGGGCUCGCUACAAGGGGUGCGGCGUGCGGUUUAAUUGGAUUACACCGGAAAUCUCACCAGGGGCGACGGCAGGAUGAAGGUCAGGCUAAUGGUCUUACCUAACGAGCCGAGAGGUGGUGCAUGGCCGUCGUCAGUUCGUGCCGUAAGGUGUCCUGUUAAGUCAGGCAACGAACAAGACCCACGCCCACAUUUGCCAACGUUUCUUACGAGAAGAACGGGCACAAUGUGGGGACUGCUCUAGAAAUGGAGAGGAGGGUGUGGGCAACGAUAGGUCAGUAUGCCCCUAAUCUCCUGGGCUACACGCGCGCAACAAUGGUAGGGACAAUGGGAUGCGACUCUGAAAAGAGGAGCCAAACCUCUAAACCCUAUCCUAGUCUAGAUUGAGGAUUGUAACCCAUCCUCAUGACAAUGGAAUCCCUAG